This 2109-nucleotide ribosomal RNA is filed under the name Limnohabitans curvus. RNAcentral's name for it is "bacterial LSU rRNA". It matches the Rfam family "Bacterial large subunit ribosomal RNA", at positions 543 to 2656 of the family's 2925-position model. The record is from RNAcentral. Lineage: Bacteria; Pseudomonadati; Pseudomonadota; Betaproteobacteria; Burkholderiales; Comamonadaceae. RNAcentral also lists the same sequence under 3 other names.
AUAGAUCCUGAAACCGUAUGCUUACAAAAAGUAGGAGCCUCGUAAGGGGUGACUGCGUACCUUUUGUAUAAUGGGUCAGCGACUUACAUUCAGUGGCAAGGUUAACCGAAUAGGGAAGCCGUAGAGAAAUCGAGUCCGAAUAGGGCGAAUUAGUCGCUGGGUGUAGACCCGAAACCAAGUGAUCUAUCCAUGGGCAGGAUGAAGGUGCCGUAACAGGUACUGGAGGUCCGAACCGACUAAUGUUGCAAAAUUAGCGGAUGACCUGUGGAUAGGGGUGAAAGGCUAAACAAACUUGGAAAUAGCUGGUUCUCUCCGAAAACUAUUUAGGUAGUGCCUCAAGUAUUACCUGCGGGGGUAGAGCACUGUUUUGGCUAGGGGGUCAUGGCGACUUACCAAACCAAUGCAAACUCCGAAUACCGCAGAGUACAGCUUGGGAGACAGAGCACCGGGUGCUAACGUCCGGACUCAAGAGGGAAACAACCCAGACCGCCAGCUAAGGUCCCUAAAAUUGGCUAAGUGGGAAACGAAGUGGGAAGGCUAAAACAGUCAGGAUGUUGGCUUAGAAGCAGCCAUCAUUUAAAGAAAGCGUAAUAGCUCACUGAUCGAGUCGUCCUGCGCGGAAGAUGUAACGGGGCUAAGCCAGUUACCGAAGCUGCGGAUUUGCAAUUUAUUGCAAGUGGUAGGAGAGCGUUCUGUAAGCCUGUGAAGGUGCGUUGUAAAGCGUGCUGGAGGUAUCAGAAGUGCGAAUGCUGACAUGAGUAGCGUUAAAGGGGGUGAAAAGCCCCCUCGCCGUAAGCGCAAGGUUUUCUACGCAACGUUCAUCGGCGUAGAGUGAGUCGGCCCCUAAGGCGAGGCAGAGAUGCGUAGUUGAUGGGAAACAGGUAAAUAUUCCUGUACCGAUGUGUAGUGCGAUGUGGGGACGGAGAAGGUUAGCUCAGCAGACUGUUGGAUAUGUCUGUUCAAGCCUGUAGUCGUGCCUGGUAGGUAAAUCCGCCGGGCUUAGAUGAGGGGUGAUAACGAGGAUGCUUGCAUCCGAAGUGAGUGAUACCCUGCUUCCAGGAAAAGCCACUAAGCUUCAGCUACACACGACCGUACCGCAAACCGACACUGGUGCGCGAGAUGAGUAUUCUAAGGCGCUUGAGAGAACUCAGGAGAAGGAACUCGGCAAAUUGACACCGUAACUUCGGAAGAAGGUGUGCCUUUAGUAUGUGAACCUGUACAAGGGGAGCAGAAUGAGGCCUCAGAGAAUCGGUGGCUGCGACUGUUUAAUAAAAACACAGCACUCUGCAAACACGAAAGUGGACGUAUAGGGUGUGACGCCUGCCCGGUGCUGGAAGAUUAAAUGAUGGGGUGCAAGCUCUUGAUUGAAGUCCCAGUAAACGGCGGCCGUAACUAUAACGGUCCUAAGGUAGCGAAAUUCCUUGUCGGGUAAGUUCCGACCUGCACGAAUGGCGUAACGAUGGCCACACUGUCUCCUCCUGAGACUCAGCGAAGUUGAAAUGUUUGUGAUGAUGCAAUCUCCCCGCGGAAAGACGGAAAGACCCCAUGAACCUUUACUGUAGCUUUGUAUUGGAUUUUGAACAGACCUGUGUAGGAUAGGUGGGAGGCUUUGAAGCCGGAACGCUAGUUUCGGUGGAGCCAACGUUGAAAUACCACCCUGGUGUGUUUGAGGUUCUAACCUAGGUCCAUUAUCUGGAUCGGGGACAGUGCAUGGUAGGCAGUUUGACUGGGGCGGUCUCCUCCCAAAGCGUAACGGAGGAGUUCGAAGGUACGCUAGUUACGGUCGGACAUCGUGAUGAUAGUGCAAUGGCAUAAGCGUGCUUAACUGCGAGACUGACAAGUCGAGCAGAUACGAAAGUAGGACAUAGUGAUCCGGUGGUUCUGUAUGGAAGGGCCAUCGCUCAACGGAUAAAAGGUACUCUGGGGAUAACAGGCUGAUACCGCCCAAGAGUUCAUAUCGACGGCGGUGUUUGGCACCUCGAUGUCGGCUCAUCUCAUCCUGGGGCUGUAGCCGGUCCCAAGGGUAUGGCUGUUCGCCAUUUAAAGAGGUACGUGAGCUGGGUUUAAAACGUCGUGAGACAGUUUGGUCCCUAUCUUCCGUGGGCGCUG